RNA transcript from Triticum aestivum (bread wheat), 4274 nucleotides. It is a transcript of the gene named translation initiation factor IF-2, with no coding region annotated. Lineage: Eukaryota; Viridiplantae; Streptophyta; Magnoliopsida; Poales; Poaceae. The record is from RefSeq and is a predicted model, not a curated record. The transcript is spliced from 12 exons.
UUAUCUUCAUCCUCCCAGGCUCGUCAGAUCUCAAUCUGGUUCAUCUCCCAAAAGACGCCCCAGCCCCGAGAGGAGCCGCCGCCGCCAUCGGGGAACGAGAGGAGCCGCCGCCUGCAGGUGCGGAGGAGCGGAGCUGGCCGGGUUUGCGGGGGAAGCCGGCGCGGGCGAAGCCGGCAGGCCGGGUUGCGGGGAAACCGGCAAGCCGGGCAGCGGGAGCCGGCGGCCGGGAAGCGGCAGAAGCCGGCCUGCAUGGGGUGGGAGCCGGUCGAGGCACGAGAGCCGCGAGGAGGCCGGCGCGAGGCUGGGGAGCCCGCAGCCGGAGCGGGGGCGCCCAGGCGGCACAACGAGGUGGGACCGCGGGAGCAGCGCGGCACCGAGCGGAGCAGGCGGUGACGCAGCACCGCGGGGGCGCGCACGCGGAGGUGCAGGUGCCCCCGCGCGCGGCGGAGCAGCGAGGGGCCGACGACCACCACAGGUGCGCCUCCCUCUCCCUCGAGACUCCAGCUCCCCAGCGGCCAUCCCUCCUUUCCCCCAAGUCCACGACCACUGCUGCUUCGAGGCCGAGGAUACCAUCGGGUAGUAGCUAGCUCAGGUCGGGGUCACAGUCCAGCAAUGCAAGGAGCCAAGGAGGGUGGUCCAGCCGAGAGAAGGAUGUUGCGAGAGGGGAUGAAGCGGCAGUUGCGUGGCCGUGUUGAACCGAGCUGGUUGCCAGAGCGGAUGGAGUGGUGGCUGCACGGAUUCCUUAUUGGAGGUGCCGUACCUUCAUAUCCUCUGCUGCAGCAGAUGCAGAUGGAGCACACCGUGGGAUAUCCCCAUCCACCACGGUCACUGCCGUCAAGGGCUUCUUCAUGGAUCUGGGACGCCAUGGACCUGCAGCUCCUCAAGGUUCUUGUACCCCAACCUCUCGGACCCCUUGAACGGGGAGGCGGCUUCGCUGAUGACGCGCGACAAGAAGGCAUACAACCAGAAAGUCCAAGAAUCUGAUGCGUGACGAUCAGAUGGUCAAAAAAGUGACAUUGUGUGACGAUCGGAUGGUUCUUCAAGCUCCCAGCAUGACGUACUCUCCAUCUCUUGUCUCUUUCGCAUGGCGGGGCAGAGGGAUUGGUCGAGGACCGCAGCAUCGGCGACCCAGGUACAAGCACGUGGCGGCGUGGCGGCAACUGGGAUGCACAUGAGGCUACUGUUCUUCUACCGGUUCACAGCGUCCAUGUGACACCGCCGAGCCCUUCAUUUGCGUCCUCCUGGGAGACCACCAUGCAGCACCAAGGUUAAAAAAAGCCCCCUGUUGUUGUCUCCCUUUCAGUUGAAAUAUAUCCUUUUACAUGCGCAGGUCAUAAGUUUGUGAUCUGCAAGGUUUAUAUGAAAAAGGAAUUCCAAUUAUGAUAAGUUGUAGCUUUGAUACCAACUAUUAGACUAUGUGUGCUCCCUGAUUUUCCCGUCUGAUUUUCCAGUGACUGCUCUCUGAUGUAUUUCUAUUUCCAUAUGACAGAGUAAUUAGCAUUUCUGUUUUGAUAUCUCCCUCCUUAACUGAGUUUGUGAGUGAUUUCAGCUCCAUGAAGAAACCUCAAGUUUGAUAUUGCUUACUUAUUUAACAAAUACCAAAGCAUGUCCAUAUCUUCAGACGGAAGCUAUAUACUCUAAUUGCGGAGAUUUUCUUUCUUUGUUAAUCUCUUGAAUAAGUUGGACCAGCUGUAUAUCUCUUUUUACACCACGAUUUGUUUUUCAUGUUGGAGUAGAUAUUGGCCCUCUGAUAAUACUAAUAUUGGUCCAUUGAAGGUACUAAUUUCAGAAAGAUCAUAUGGGUGCAUACCAGUAUCAACUAUUAAGGGAGCAAAGUAAUUACUUGUCGUUCCUUAUUGUUGUGAAAGUUCAUAUUUAUUUGCUAUAUAGAUGCUCUUCAUAGACUAACUGUGGUUUAAAAUUCAAAAUCCUUUAUAUCUCUUUGUUAUUAUUUGGUUCAGUACCUGCUACGUUCCUAUGGCUGGCUGCCCUUAAGUAGUUAAAAAUAACGAUGGCUCUUCGACAUUAUUGAUUGUCUGAUGUCUUUGCAGGAGAGAAUAUAGAUGAUAGGAGAAUGGGGGAAGAUAUAAAUGCCUUGAGUGAAUAAAUAAAUGGACGAUUCAUGGGGCUUCACUAAUGGAUAGCAUCACACUGUCACCUGAAAUUGCUUUAGUGUAUACACCCAGGGCGCCUACAUGCUCAUGUUAGAGUUAAUGGAGGAUGAAGUGUGACCGUACUAUCUCCUUGUGUCUACAACGACGUGUGCCAGUACUGUCUCCUUGACCGGCUCCUUAGGCUCUCCCUGUGCGGUAGCGGCUCAAUCUCCGCGGUGCCGUCGAGGAGGAGGGGCUGGGGCAACCGUGUCUGGUGCGCUCUCGCUACUCAUCGACCUUGCUGUUACUACCUCAUCCUUGAAGCCAUGGGUGGCCUCUAAUUUUCCCUUUGGAGUGUUGAAUGCAAACUGCAAAAGUAGAGCUGGUUGGCUAGCUGUUGAUUUGAUCAGGGGAUAGCAUAUGAAGUGAGUAAACAGAAAGAAAGUGAGCAUCCAAGCAGGAACUGCAAAUGCUCUAUUUUAGUCAAAGCAUGGGAAUGUGCACAAGGGAAAGGCAUGUAUAAGUAGCACAAUCGUGGUGCGCGUGUGAAGUCUAGAAGCGGAUGGGACAAAGUUGGGGAAGUUGUCUUAGCUUGUCUAAAGGUUGAUGUCCCGGGCAAGACGCAGUACCUCAUGUUUGUCUCUUUUUGGGACAUGCUGCAACACAUGGGCAAGUUGGAGAUUGGAGAAGUCGAUUGGGGGCUUGAGGCAUGAGAGGAUACCAUGAGAAGGGCAGUCAGGAGGAAGCCUAGAGUCUACAUUCAGCACCAAAGCCUGCACCAUAGCAGAGAACAAUGAUGAAUGCAAGGUAUAUUAUCUAGAAAAUAUAUCGCUUCAACCUAAUGAUCCAUGAUGGUGUCAGCUCGAUUUGAUUCUGAAGGCUUCCUUUGCUCAAUAUAGGGAUUGUGACAUGUUUGGGUGGUCUGCAAUGUGGACUUGUACAUUUCAAGGAAUGCAAGGUAUAUUAUCUAGAAAUAGAUCGCUUCAACCUGAUGUCCAUGAUGGUGUCAUGCUCGAUUUGAUUCUGGAGGCUUUCUUUGCUCAAUAUAGGGAUUGUGACAUGUUUGGGUGGUCUGCAAUGUGGACUUGUACAUUUCACGGUAUAUAAUACUGAUGAAUGUUACACUAAUACGUUACAUAGGCAAUGGUACUGCGCCUUUCUCACCCAUAUCUCUCUAUACAUAUUUCUCCACUUAUUAGUGACCCCUAUAACCAAUAGAACCUGUAUGAUCUGUAUAGACUAGCUAGAGCACAACAUAUUUUCGUAAACAGGGGAGAGUAGAGAUUCAUAUUUAAAAGAAAUUUUGCAAGUUUUUGUGGCAUUAUAUCCAAAAUUUUUAGUCAUUAUAUUCCAGAUUUCUUUUGGCAUGUGUUGUUGUGACGUGCAGCGAAUAGGCGUAGGGGAAAGAGCAACAUGGCCAAGCAAGUGUUGAGUAAAGAACCAUGAGAAUAAACUGAGUUUUUGAUUUUCUUUUUUGGGUGCACUUUUAAUGUUGCAUGGACUGAGCAUACACUGAUUUUUUUUACUUCUUCCAUCGUGUAGCUACAGGACCACAAACUAAGUCCCCCUGUCCUACCCUCUCAUCCGCGCAGUUGUCGCCGACUACGCGUGUGCCUCCCGUUGUCACCACUGACUCGCUUUACUGUAAGAGUGUUCAUUCCGUAAUCGCCGUGAAAGAUAUCUAACCUCUAAUAUGAGGUUGUAAGAUUACUUUGGUUAAACUUUCUAUUUACCCUCUUUAGGACAAUUGUAUAUGCCAUUUGGUUAUUCAUGUACACCAGUAUGACUUACGGCAUUUCUGGAUUGUUAACAGCCCUGAUCUGAUUGUUUGAUGUACUUAUAUCAUUUUCUUUUCAGUCACCUCUUCAUCCGAGCAGGGGUGGCGAGGGAACAUAAAUGGUCGUGGUGAAAGUCGAUUUAGUGCAUCAAGGAUUGGAGGUCGUGAGAUUUGCAAGAGGUGAUGAAGCACAAUUUGUUAUCGUGCCUUAUAACAUAUAUAGCAGUCGAUGAUGAGUGCAAGCAUAAGAUGGUUGACAAUCUGUAGAGCAUGAGACAUACCUUUGCAGUCUGUAAGAGGAUCAAAUAACAUGUUUUGUUGACAAGGAUUAUUUUGGAAUUUCUAUAUAACAUGCAUGCACAAUAUGUUAAUGAAGCUACAUGAAUGGUCGAUGCUCUGUUCAA